Molecule: ribosomal RNA, 609 nt
Filed under: Trochoidea elegans
Lineage: Eukaryota; Metazoa; Mollusca; Gastropoda; Stylommatophora; Geomitridae
Description: SSU rRNA
Rfam family: Eukaryotic small subunit ribosomal RNA
Source: RNAcentral
AGCAGUCAUAUGCUUGUCUCAAAGAUUAAGCCAUGCAUGUGUAAGUUCACACUGUUCCACGGUGAAACCGCGAAUGGCUCAUUAAAUCAGUGGAGGUUCGUUAAAUGACACGAUCCUACUUGGAUAACUGUGGCAAUUAUAGAGGUAAUACAUGCUUACCAAGCUCCGACCCUCGCGGAAAGAGCGCUUUUAUUAGUUCAAAACCAAUCGUCGCUGCCCUUCACGGGGCGCGGCGUUCCCAUUGGUGACUCUGGAUAACUUUGUGCUGAUCGCAUGGCCUUACGUGCCGGCCACGCAUCUUUCAAAUGUCUGCCCUAUCAAAUGUCGAUGGUACGUGACAUGCCUACCAUGUUUGUAACGGGUAACGGGGAAUCAGGGUUCGAUUCCGGAGAGGGAGCAUGAGAACCGGCUACCACAUCCAAGGAAGGCAGCAGGCGCGCAACUUACCCACUCCCGGCACGGGGAGGUAGUGACGAAAAAUAACAAUACGGGAAUCUAUCCAGGCCCCGUAAUUGGAAUGAGGACACUUUAAACCCUUUAACGAGGAUCUAUUGAAGGGCAAGUCUGGUGCCAGCAGCCGCGGUAAUUCCAGCUUCAAUAGCGUAUAUU